RNAcentral lists this transfer RNA (74 nucleotides) under Omnitrophica WOR_2 bacterium GWA2_44_7. RNAcentral's name for it is "tRNA-Arg". It matches the Rfam family "tRNA". From Rfam's summary of the family: Transfer RNA (tRNA) molecules are approximately 80 nucleotides in length. Their secondary structure includes four short double-helical elements and three loops (D, anti-codon, and T loops). Further hydrogen bonds mediate the characteristic L-shaped molecular structure. tRNAs have two regions of fundamental functional importance: the anti-codon, which is responsible for specific mRNA codon recognition, and the 3' end, to which the tRNAs corresponding amino acid is attached (by aminoacyl-tRNA synthetases). tRNAs cope with the degeneracy of the genetic code in two manners: having more than one tRNA (with a specific anti-codon) for a particular amino acid; and 'wobble' base-pairing, i.e. permitting non-standard base-pairing at the 3rd anti-codon position. Lineage: Bacteria; Pseudomonadati; Candidatus Omnitrophota. RNAcentral also lists the same sequence under 4 other names. The record is from RNAcentral.
GCGCCCGUAGCUCAAUUGGAUAGAGCGUCAGUCUACGGAACUGAAUGUUGGCCGUUCAAACCGGCCCGGGCGCG